GAGUUUGAUCAUGGCUCAGAUUGAACGCUGGCGGCAGGCUUAACACAUGCAAGUCAAGCGGAGAGAGGUAGCUUGCUACUGAUCUUAGCGGCGGACGGGUGAGUAAUGCUUAGGAAUCUGCCUAUUAGUGGGGGACAACAUUUCGAAAGGAAUGCUAAUACCGCAUACGUCCUACGGGAGAAAGCAGGGGAUCUUCGGACCUUGCGCUAAUAGAUGAGCCUAAGUCGGAUUAGCUAGUUGGUGGGGUAAAGGCCUACCAAAGCGACGAUCUGUAGCGGGUCUGAGAGGAUGAUCCGCCACACUGGGACUGAGACACGGCCCAGACUCCUACGGGAGGCAGCAGUGGGGAAUAUUGGACAAUGGGCGCAAGCCUGAUCCAGCCAUGCCGCGUGUGUGAAGAAGGCCUUAUGGUUGUAAAGCACUUUAAGCGAGGAGGAGGCUACUUUAGUUAAUACCUAGAGAUAGUGGACGUUACUCGCAGAAUAAGCACCGGCUAACUCUGUGCCAGCAGCCGCGGUAAUACAGAGGGUGCAAGCGUUAAUCGGAUUUACUGGGCGUAAAGCGCGCGUAGGCGGCUAAUUAAGUCAAAUGUGAAAUCCCCGAGCUUAACUUGGGAAUUGCAUUCGAUACUGGUUAGCUAGAGUGUGGGAGAGGAUGGUAGAAUUCCAGGUGUAGCGGUGAAAUGCGUAGAGAUCUGGAGGAAUACCGAUGGCGAAGGCAGCCAUCUGGCCUAACACUGACGCUGAGGUGCGAAAGCAUGGGGAGCAAACAGGAUUAGAUACCCUGGUAGUCCAUGCCGUAAACGAUGUCUACUAGCCGUUGGGGCCUUUGAGGCUUUAGUGGCGCAGCUAACGCGAUAAGUAGACCGCCUGGGGAGUACGGUCGCAAGACUAAAACUCAAAUGAAUUGACGGGGGCCCGCACAAGCGGUGGAGCAUGUGGUUUAAUUCGAUGCAACGCGAAGAACCUUACCUGGCCUUGACAUAGUAAGAACUUUCCAGAGAUGGAUUGGUGCCUUCGGGAACUUACAUACAGGUGCUGCACGGCUGUCGUCAGCUCGUGUCGUGAGAUGUUGGGUUAAGUCCCGCAACGAGCGCAACCCUUUUCCUUAUUUGCCAGCGAGUAAUGUCGGGAACUUUAAGGAUACUGCCAGUGACAAACUGGAGGAAGGCGGGGACGACGUCAAGUCAUCAUGGCCCUUACGGCCAGGGCUACACACGUGCUACAAUGGUCGGUACAAAGGGUUGCUACCUAGCGAUAGGAUGCUAAUCUCAAAAAGCCGAUCGUAGUCCGGAUUGGAGUCUGCAACUCGACUCCAUGAAGUCGGAAUCGCUAGUAAUCGCGGAUCAGAAUGCCGCGGUGAAUACGUUCCCGGGCCUUGUACACACCGCCCGUCACACCAUGGGAGUUUGUUGCACCAGAAGUAGCUAGCCUAACUGCAAAGAGGGCGGUUACCACGGUGUGGCCGAUGACUGGGGUGAAGUCGUAACAAGGUAGCCGUA
Molecule: ribosomal RNA, 1501 nt
Filed under: uncultured bacterium
Lineage: Bacteria
Description: bacterial SSU rRNA
Rfam family: Bacterial small subunit ribosomal RNA
Source: RNAcentral